Molecule: unclassified non-coding RNA, 200 nt
Filed under: Oidiodendron sp.
Lineage: Eukaryota; Fungi; Ascomycota; Leotiomycetes; Myxotrichaceae
Description: partial internal transcribed spacer 2
Source: RNAcentral
UUAAGUUCAGCGGGUAUCCCUACCUGAUCCGAGGUCAACCACGAGAGUUGGGGUUCUGGCAGGCUACCACCGGGCACUGGAGCGAGAGACGUACUACGCUCAGGGCCAGGCGGCACCGCCACUGUCUUUAGGGCCGGCCGCAACGGGCAGUCACCCAACACCAAGCUGAGCUUGAAGGUUUAAAUGACGCUCGAACAGGC